Molecule: ribosomal RNA, 373 nt
Filed under: uncultured organism
Description: bacterial SSU rRNA
Rfam family: Bacterial small subunit ribosomal RNA
Source: RNAcentral
CAGAGGGUGCGAGCGUUGUUCGGAAUUACUGGGCGUAAAGCGCGCGCAGGCGGCCCUUUAAGUCCGUCGGUCAAAUGCCGGGGCUCAACCCCGAGCGUGCCGAGGAUACUGGAGGGCUGGAGACACGUAGAGGCAAGCGGAAUUCCGGGUGUAGCGGUGGAAUGCGUAGAGAUCCGGAAGAACACCGGAGGCGAAGGCGGCUUGCUGGGCGUGAUCUGACGCUGAGGCGCGAAAGCGUGGGGAGCGAACAGGAUUAGAUACCCUGGUAGUCCACGCCGUAAACGAUGGGCACUAGACGCCGGCGGGAUCGACCCCGUCGGUGUCGCAGCUAACGCGAUAAGUGCCCCGCCUGGGGAGUACGGCCGCAAGGCUG